UGGGGAAUAUUGCACAAUGGGCGCAAGCCUGAUGCAGCCAUGCCGCGUGUAUGAAGAAGGCCUUCGGGUUGUAAAGUACUUUCAGUCGGGAGGAAGGUGUCAAGGUUAAUAACCUUGGCAAUUGACGUUACCGACAGAAGAAGCACCGGCUAACUCCGUGCCAGCAGCCGCGGUAAUACGGAGGGUGCAAGCGUUAAUCGGAAUUACUGGGCGUAAAGCGCACGCAGGCGGUUGAUUGAGUCAGAUGUGAAAGCCCCGGGCUUAACCCGGGAAUUGCAUCUGAAACUGGUCAGCUAGAGUCUUGUAGAGGGGGGUAGAAUUCCAUGUGUAGCGGUGAAAUGCGUAGAGAUGUGGAGGAAUACCGGUGGCGAAGGCGGCCCCCUGGACAAAGACUGACGCUCAGGUGCGAAAGCGUGGGGAGCAAACAGG
RNAcentral lists this ribosomal RNA (429 nucleotides) under Chloroflexota bacterium. RNAcentral describes it as "Chloroflexi bacterium partial 16S ribosomal RNA". It matches the Rfam family "Bacterial small subunit ribosomal RNA", at positions 355 to 776 of the family's 1533-position model. Lineage: Bacteria; Bacillati; Chloroflexota. The record is from RNAcentral.